This 253-nucleotide ribosomal RNA is filed under the name uncultured bacterium. RNAcentral describes it as "partial 16S ribosomal RNA". It matches the Rfam family "Bacterial small subunit ribosomal RNA", at positions 524 to 776 of the family's 1533-position model. The record is from RNAcentral.
UACGGAGGGUCCAAGCGUUAUCCGGAAUCAUUGGGUUUAAAGGGUCCGUAGGCGGUUUUGUAAGUCAGUGGUGAAAGCCCAUCGCUCAACGGUGGAACGGCCAUUGAUACUGCAAGACUUGAAUUAUUGUGAAGUAACUAGAAUAUAUAGUGUAGCGGUGAAAUGCUUAGAGAUUACAUGGAAUACCAAUUGCGAAGGCAGGUUACUAACAAUAUAUUGACGCUGAUGGACGAAAGCGUGGGUAGCGAACAGG